AACUAAUCUUUUAUUCUAAGCACCACGAAUGCAUCAGUCAGCUUUGAUCUCUACUUCAGAUUAAGACUGAUUUAUGGUAUGUUCUGAAUUCAUGGUGAACAACAAUAUGUGUUUAUCAUUUGGAAUUUCCUAGAAGAUACAUUGUUUUAACAAAAAUCUUUAUCUUCCUUUUAUUCAUUGGUUUUAUUUUCUCUUCGUCACUGUUGAUCUACUGUCACCACUUCAACUUAUGUCGUCAGUUCAGACAUCAACAGCAGGAUCUGACUGAUCUUGCUAAAUAAUACUUCUGGCAGUUUCUUUUAUCUUUGAAAGGUUGCAGAUUGCUUGAAGCUUCACCAAGACAACGCUCCACACUGCACAACCUUUAUUACGACCAUCAGAAGCAUGAAAAGUUACCAGUUUCAAAGAGCUUUCCACCAUCUUCUUCUUCUAUGGGGCGGCCUACUGCAUGCACUUAAGCCUCAAGAGCCUUUUGCGCACACCGGAAGCACCACCAUCUUAGCAUCUCUGAGGUUUUUGACACCAUGGAAAAAUUGUAUUGGUAACAGUAUAUUGACACCCAAGGAGGCUAUUUUGAAGAUUUAACAAUAUGCACCAUUCAGAUUAAUAAAUCCUUUUUACCAAACCCA
Long non-coding RNA from Homalodisca vitripennis (glassy-winged sharpshooter), 629 nucleotides. RefSeq lists it as uncharacterized. NCBI's taxonomy places the organism in Eukaryota, Metazoa, Arthropoda, Insecta, Hemiptera, Cicadellidae. The transcript is spliced from 2 exons. The record is from RefSeq and is a predicted model, not a curated record.